Long non-coding RNA from Acanthopagrus latus (yellowfin seabream), 1119 nucleotides. RefSeq lists it as uncharacterized. The transcript has 2 exons. NCBI's taxonomy places the organism in Eukaryota, Metazoa, Chordata, Actinopteri, Spariformes, Sparidae. The record is from RefSeq and is a predicted model, not a curated record.
AGAAGAGAAGAAGAAGCAGAGCCGGUCUGGAAGAAGCGCGGAAAAGAAACUGAGAGAACCUGGAGAAGGAGGAGGAGGAGGAGAGGCUGAGAAGACGGCGGGGCAGAGUCGAAGUGAGCAGCAUCGCCUACAAACUAUAGAAAAGAGCGGGAGAGCCAGUUCGCCGGCUGGUUGAGACCUGUUGCAGGCUCGGAAAGCAAAGCUGUCUGCCGGUGCUGAAGACAGAGCUGGUGGCCCAAUGAACUGUAUUAAAAAACACAGCAAAUCCAAAAAACACAAAGAGAAAGAAUCCUGUGAACGUGUGUUUUCCAAGGUAAAUCUAAUGAAAACAAAACCACCAAACCGACUUAUCACAGGCGCCCUUAAUGGGCUCAUGCACACAUCAGAGAGUGUGAAGAUGGCAGGUGGAUGUGCCGGUUUGAAGCCAACAACCACAAUGCUGCGGUCCAUGACAACAUGAGAUGUAAACAGUAAGAGGACUGCCCCCACCCAGCAGGGUGCAGCAGACUCAGACAGGGACUCACAGCUGGAGACUGAACCUGAAGAAAACUGCCAAAGGCGGAGACGUGACGUGACGCAGCCCGGACAGCUGAUGGAGACCGAGGCGAUCAGGGCUACACACCACUUAGUGUUUGUCCACAUUAGAUGUUGGACUUUUGCUUCACUCGGAACAAACACCUGUAGCCCUUGGCCUGUUGUCUGCUGUGCUUCCCUCUUUUCCAGGUUAUUAUACAGCAGGUUCUAUAUGCACUUUAUUUGAAGUUAUAUGCUGUUAAGUGCUGUUUUUGUUGAUUUUCUGAGUUGUUGUCAUUUUUGAGGACAGAGACAUGUUGUUGCUCUGAAAAUAAAAUGUAACAUGUGAAGCCAGAUCUUUAUUUUCUUGUCAGUUAUCAUGAAUACUGUUUCUCUUUGUCUCUCUGCCUGUUAGACGCUGUUCAACACUAGAGUGACUGUAGCGCAUCAAUACACUUGUUAUUUUGGUUAUGACGGCUGUCCGAUCAUUUCCCUCCAAAUACGAUCAUUUGAUGUCUGUGGUACGAUAAUCCUACAUUUCCCAGCUGGCAACGCGGGUUCAGUGAGUUGUUGAGUUGGAGCCACUUUAUAAACUGUGUGAAACUC